GAUCCUGAGUACGGCGGAACACGUGAAAUUCCGUCGGAAUCCGGGAGGACCAUCUCCCAAGGCUAAAUACUCCCUAGUGACCGAUAGUGAACCAGUACCGUGAGGGAAAGGUGAAAAGCACCCCGGAAGGGGAGUGAAACAGUUCCUGAAACCGUGUGCCUACAAGUAGUUAGAGCCCGUUAAUGGGUGAUAGCGUGCCUUUUGUAGAAUGAACCGGCGAGUUACGAUUUGUUGCAAGGUUAAGCGGAAAAAGCGGAGCCGUAGCGAAAGCGAGUCUGAAUAGGGCGCAUAAGUAACAGGUCGUAGACCCGAAACCAGGUGAUCUACCCAUGUCCAGGAUGAAGGUAAGGUAAUACUUACUGGAGGUCCGAACCCACGCACGUUGAAAAGUGCGGGGAUGAGGUGUGGGUAGCGGAGAAAUUCCAAUCGAACUUGGAGAUAGCUGGUUCUCUCCGAAAUAGCUUUAGGGCUAGCCUCGAGGUAAAGAGUCAUGGAGGUAGAGCACUGUUUGGACUAGGGGCCCUUCUCGGGUUACCGAAUUCAGAUAAACUCCGAAUGCCAUGUACUUAUACUCGGGAGUCAGACUGCGAGUGAUAAGAUCCGUAGUCGAAAGGGAAACAGCCCAGACCACCAGUUAAGGUCCCCAAAUAUAUGUUAAGUGGAAAAGGAUGUGGGGUUGCUUAGACAACCAGGAUGUUGGCUUAGAAGCAGCCACCAUUGAAAGAGUGCGUAAUAGCUCACUGGUCGAGUGACCCCGCGCCGAAAAUGUACCGGGGCUAAACAUAUUACCGAAACUGUGGAUGAACCUCUUUAGAGGUUCGUGGUAGGAGAGCGUUCUAAGGGCGGUGAAGUCAGACCGGAAGGACUGGUGGAGCGCUUAGAAGUGAGAAUGCCGGUAUGAGUAGCGAAAGAAGGGUGAGAAUCCCUUCCACCGAAUAUCUAAGGUUUCCUGAGGAAGGCUCGUCCGCUCAGGGUUAGUCGGGACCUAAGCCGAGGCCGAUAGGCGUAGGCGAUGGACAACAGGUAGAGAUUCCUGUACCAGUGCUAAUUGUUUAACCGAUGGGGUGACACAGAAGGAUAGGGAAUCGCACGAAUGGAAAUGUGCGUCCAAGCAGUGAGUGUGAGAAGUAGGCAAAUCCGCUUCUC
RNAcentral lists this ribosomal RNA (1146 nucleotides) under Listeria monocytogenes. RNAcentral's name for it is "partial 23S ribosomal RNA". It matches the Rfam family "Bacterial large subunit ribosomal RNA", at positions 404 to 1550 of the family's 2925-position model. Lineage: Bacteria; Bacillati; Bacillota; Bacilli; Caryophanales; Listeriaceae. The record is from RNAcentral.